UGCGCUGCCUGGCAACAGCGCACUUGUUUACAUUUUUGUGCGUUCGCGUGCUUUCGCCCGGUGCGUGGUUUUCGAUAUUCUAUGUUCAAUGCUUACUCUAUAUUAUAACAUUUUCCAAGUUUAAAUCUUCAACCCACAAUGGCGGAUCCGUACGAUCGUGGUUACUACAAAAAGCGGCCUUACGCUCCCAAGUUCCAGGAACGUGAGCAGGAGCCGGACUCGAGUCAGCAACAGAUCAAACCGGUGUUCAUACUCGCCAAACACCCGGACCGGGGCUCUUCCUCCCAGACUCAGUCACAGGCUGGUGGAGAUGCAGCUUCUGGAGAAAGUUCAAAGCCUACCGUGCUGCUUAGCAAGGCAUCAUCAAGGGCUGAAUCUCCAGCAUCUUCGUCAAGCACACCCAAAGAUGAUGCUCAACCAUCUGCUUCUGUGAGCACCAACACCUCUGUCAAGCAGCCGCCCCCAGAGAGCUUGAGUGACCGACUAGCAGCACCUCCUGACAUGGCUGCCCCCGUCAAGUUUAUUGAUGAUUCCUUACAGUGGUGCGAUAAUGCACUUGAGUACCUUGUGGACCAGCCAGACUUCUAUGUGGUCGGAAUCGUUGGCAUGCAAGGCGCUGGGAAGUCAACUGUUAUGUCAAUACUCGCCGGGCAGUAUGGUCAAGCAGGCAUGAGGCAGCUGUUUCGUCCGCAGAGCCGAGAAUUGCGGGAACUUGGCCAACACUGCACAACAGGUGUGGACAUUUAUGCCACACCAGAGAGGAUGAUCCUGCUUGAUACUCAGCCUGUCAUCAGUGCCUCGGUGAUGGACCACAUGAUCCAGUUUGAGAAGAAGACUCCCGGUGGUGGGGACUUUCAUUCACUAGAAAAUGCUCAUGUCAUGCAGUCUCUGCAGAUGGCCUCUUUCCUGAUGGCUGUCUGCCACACAGUCAUUGUUGUGCAAGACUGGUUUGCUGAUCCGAAUUUCCUCAGAUUUGUGCUGACAGCUGAAAUGCUCAAGCCAACGACUUCGUCGCACGACCAAAGCCGCAGCAAUGGGGAUGACAUCGCUGAAAGCUUUCCUCACCUGGUGUUUGUGCAGAACAAGUGCACUCCCGGUGACUUUUCUCCCGAGAAUGUUGCUGCAAUGAGCCAGACAUUGGAUGCCAUCUUUACCAAGUCAAAGCUCAAGUACAAAGGACAGAUUAGCAUGGAUGCCACAGUGGCUCUUGGCAAAGACAAGCAGCACCAGGGUCCGAACCUGUUCCUGCUUCCCAAGAGGCUAUCUGAGCAAGCUGACUUUGUGCAGAAGAGAAACAGAGAAGUGAAGGUGACGCCGUGCCUGGAUACCAGGAGGGCGGCCGGCUAGAGCAACUGGCUUCAUUGCUGACCCUUCAAAUUGGCAGCAUGCCAAAGCAGCACAUCACGCAUACACCCCUCACUGAGAAAAACUGGUUCCAUUAUUCAGCACGGCUGUGGGAUGCUAUGCAAAAGUCCAUGGUGUUCAUGGAGUACAGUCGUCUGCUUCCAUGAGGCCUUGCGGUGUUUAUUUCGCAUAUGUGGGAAGGCAGACUUGAACGUCUGAAUUUGUACAGAUAUGUAAAUAAAGUUUGUGUCAGAAGCA
Dermacentor albipictus is the source of this 1602-nucleotide RNA transcript. It is a transcript of the gene named nonsense-mediated mRNA decay factor SMG9, with no coding region annotated. NCBI's taxonomy places the organism in Eukaryota, Metazoa, Arthropoda, Arachnida, Ixodida, Ixodidae. The record is from RefSeq and is a predicted model, not a curated record.